UGGGGAAUAUUGGGCAAUGGGGGAAACCCUGACCCAGCAACGCCGCGUGAAGGAAGAAGGCUUUCGGGUUGUAAACUUCUUUUACCAGGGACGAAGGACGUGACGGUACCUGGAGAAAAAGCCACGGCUAACUACGUGCCAGCAGCCGCGGUAAUACGUAGGUGGCAAGCGUUGUCCGGAUUUACUGGGUGUAAAGGGCGUGUAGGCGGGAGAGCAAGUCAGAAGUGAAAUCCAUGGGCUUAACCCAUGAACUGCUUUUGAAACUGUUCUUCUUGAGUAUCGGAGAGGCAGGCGGAAUUCCUAGUGUAGCGGUGAAAUGCGUAGAUAUUAGGAGGAACACCAGUGGCGAAGGCGGCCUGCUGGACGACAACUGACGCUGAGGCGCGAAAGCGUGGGGAGCAAACAGG
RNAcentral lists this ribosomal RNA (407 nucleotides) under uncultured bacterium. RNAcentral describes it as "bacterial SSU rRNA". It matches the Rfam family "Bacterial small subunit ribosomal RNA", at positions 355 to 776 of the family's 1533-position model. The record is from RNAcentral.